This 428-nucleotide ribosomal RNA is filed under the name uncultured bacterium. Its description in RNAcentral is "bacterial SSU rRNA". It matches the Rfam family "Bacterial small subunit ribosomal RNA", at positions 355 to 775 of the family's 1533-position model. The record is from RNAcentral.
UGGGGAAUUUUGGACAAUGGGGGCAACCCUGAUCCAGCCAUGCCGCGUGAGUGAAGAAGGCCUUCGGGUUGUAAAGCUCUUUCGGCCGGGAAGAAAUCGGCGACUCUAACAUAGUCGCUGGAUGACGGUACCGGACUAAGAAGCACCGGCUAACUACGUGCCAGCAGCCGCGGUAAUACGUAGGGUGCGAGCGUUAAUCGGAAUUACUGGGCGUAAAGCGUGCGCAGGCGGUUUUGUAAGACAGAUGUGAAAUCCCCGGGCUUAACCUGGGAACUGCGUUUGUGACUGCAAGGCUAGAGUACGGCAGAGGGGGGUGGAAUUCCACGUGUAGCAGUGAAAUGCGUAGAGAUGUGGAGGAACACCGAUGGCGAAGGCAGCCCCCUGGGCCUGUACUGACGCUCAUGCACGAAAGCGUGGGGAGCAAACAG